GAAGGCUGGAGAGAGGUCCAAUGGCGAUAUCUAUUCCGACCAAGUUCAAUCUCCACUCCCUCCCAUCCCUUUGUUCUAUGAAGAGGCGCACUUUAAGGAGUGCGUACUGCGCAACCCUCCCACAAUCCCAAGAACAGUAUUUCAUAAAUGAGGAAGUGAUCCUAAAAUUGCAGUUGCAUUCCCUUCAACUUCACUUACAAACAUCGUUGCAAUUUGGAGCACAGACCCUCAGUGAGAAUGCUUGGAAAUAAGAAUGUGAUUGAUUUUGACUGUAUUGGAUGUAUAUCACAAUUCAAUUUGAUACUGCAACCAAACACUUUACUAUGAGGCAAAUUUGUUCUCUGUUUACUGGAACCGGAGAUUAUUCUUUAGCAGAUGAACUUUGAGAAUUUGUAUAAAUAACUUGAGUUCUAUUUCGUCUUUUAAACCAUUAUAUAGGACCAA
Molecule: long non-coding RNA, 444 nt
Organism: Magnolia sinica
Lineage: Eukaryota; Viridiplantae; Streptophyta; Magnoliopsida; Magnoliales; Magnoliaceae
Exons: 2
Source: RefSeq, a predicted model, not a curated record